GAUCAAAUAAAUAGGAAACUAACUCAUUCAAUGGAACACCAUCUUUUGAAGUCACAGUGCCUAUUUAUAUUUUCUGUUUUCUAUCAAGAUAUUUUUUUGUCUCACAGUUCUUUGUAUGUUUGUGAAGAUGACUUAUCCCAUUUUUAGGAUUAGCUGAAAAAAUAAAAUGGCAAUAAUUGCAUUUAGCCUUAUCUUUUUGUUUUUCUAUCUCACAAUAAUGAUUCAAAUACUGAUUCCACUUCCACCGGGCCCAACACCUCUCCAAUGGUCAGAUCUGAGGAACACGACUUCAAUUCGUUGAGUCUAGAUCAAGGUCGAUUAGUAGCAAUCAAUACAGAAAUCUAACGGUGAAGUUGGAGAGUAAAGGAUUCAACAAUGGAGAUGCAACCUAACGUUGAGAGAGAGAGCUCAGAGGAAUGGUGAUCAAGGCCCCCUCUCUGUGACCCGUGGGACUCCCAUAGGGUGGGCAGAGGCUUACCCCAUCGGCCUUCAGUGCCUAAGAGAGAAGGAGGAGCCACCAGUGAUGAUGGAAACCGCAGCAGACGGCUAGAUCAAGCGGUCUCAAAAGAGAAAAUACAAAGGCAAUGUGGUCUGAAGGCAUCCAACCCUAGCCAGAGGUCUCGGCCAUGGAACAGGGCACGAGAGAAGAUGGUCCCAGAUCAGCCAUCCGACGGAUGGUGAGACUGGAGAGGGCACUGACCACGCGAGUAGUGGCCGAAGAAAGGAAGACCUAAGGACAUGGUAGUUCGGUCGAGGUGAAUAGGGAAACAAGACCACCGAGUCGGUGCUUGGGAUUGACCAGCGCCCAUGCGGCCGGAUGCAGCGAGCUUGCGGCAUCAACGAGCCACCCACGAGGAGAAGAAUGGGAGAGCCGGGGAAGAAGAAAAAAGAGAGAAGGGUUUACCUCAAAUAGGGGAGAUGGAAGUUGCCAAACAUACCUUGCAGCCUAGCGCCAUAUAUUUUCAGGGAGAAAUAAGGGGGAAGAAAGAGAGGAGGAAUAUCUAGAGAAGGAAGGGGGAGAUCUAGGGUUUCGGAGGAGGGACAUACCUUAGGAGAAGGGACGAACCAUGCCGAAGUCGUCGAAUGCAGAAGAGACU
Molecule: long non-coding RNA, 1097 nt
Filed under: Phoenix dactylifera (date palm)
Lineage: Eukaryota; Viridiplantae; Streptophyta; Magnoliopsida; Arecales; Arecaceae
Description: long non-coding RNA (PDAC_LNC013970)
Source: RNAcentral